RNAcentral lists this ribosomal RNA (253 nucleotides) under uncultured bacterium. Its description in RNAcentral is "partial 16S ribosomal RNA". It matches the Rfam family "Bacterial small subunit ribosomal RNA", at positions 524 to 776 of the family's 1533-position model. The record is from RNAcentral.
UACGUAGGUGGCAAGCGUUGUCCGGAUUUACUGGGCGUAAAGAGCGCGCAGGCGGUCGUGCAAGUCGCGUGUGAAAGCCCCCGGCUCAACUGGGGAGGGUCACGCGAUACUGCUCGACUCGAAGGCAGGAGAGGGAAGUGGAAUUCCCGGUGUAGUGGUGAAAUGCGUAGAUAUCGGGAGGAACACCAGUGGCGAAGGCGACUUCCUGGCCUGUUCUUGACGCUGAGGCGCGAAAGCUAGGGUAGCAAACGGG